Molecule: ribosomal RNA, 455 nt
Filed under: uncultured bacterium
Lineage: Bacteria
Description: partial 16S ribosomal RNA
Rfam family: Bacterial small subunit ribosomal RNA
Source: RNAcentral
CCUACGGGAGGCAGCAGUGAGGAAUAUUGGUCAAUGGACGAGAGUCUGAACCAGCCAAGUAGCGUGAAGGAUGACUGCCCUAUGGGUUGUAAACUUCUUUUAUAUGGGAAUAAAAUGUUCCACGUGUGGGAUUUUGUAUGUACCAUAUGAAUAAGGAUCGGCUAACUCCGUGCCAGCAGCCGCGGUAAUACGGAGGAUCCGAGGGUUAUCCGGAUUUAUUGGGUUUAAAGGGAGCGUAGGUGGAGUGUUAAGUCAGUUGUGAAAGUUUGCGGCUCAACCGUAAAAUGGCAGUUGAAACUGGCAGUCUUGAGUACAGUAGAGGUGGGCGGAAUUCGUGGUGUAGCGGUGAAAUGCUUAGAUAUCACGAAGAACUCCGAUUGCGAAGGCAGUUCACUGGACUGCAACUGACACUGAGGCUCGAAAGUGUGGGUAUCAAACAGGAUUAGAUACCCCAG